UAAUAGUGUAUAUUAAAGUUGUUGCAGUUAAAAAGCUCGUAGUUGAAUGUUGGUGUCGAACGAGCGGUCAGCUUCGGCUGUACUGCUCUCUCGACUCCUUCCUUCUGUGGACUACGUCGCACUUUACUGUGUGGCGCUAGGACGCAGAUCGUUUACUGUGAAAAAAUUAGAGUGUUCAAAGCAGGCCGUACGCUUGAAUACAUUAGCAUGGAAUAAUGGAAUAGGACGUCGGGCCUAUUUUGUUGGUUCUAGGACCGUCGUAAUGAUUAAUAGGGACAGUUGGGGCCGUUUAUAUUCCGUAGUCAGAGGUGAAAUUCUUGGAUUUACGGAAAAUAAACUACUGCGAAAGCAUUCGGCAAGGAUGUUUUCGUUAA
RNAcentral lists this ribosomal RNA (374 nucleotides) under uncultured eukaryote. RNAcentral's name for it is "partial 18S ribosomal RNA". It matches the Rfam family "Eukaryotic small subunit ribosomal RNA", at positions 592 to 976 of the family's 1831-position model. The record is from RNAcentral.